UAUAUUUGCCGCUUGAAAGAAAGCCUUUCAAAAAAAAAAUGCCCAAUUAGUACUGGGCUGUACAUAACAAUCAUUUAUACAAUAUUAGCAUG
Molecule: regulatory RNA element, 92 nt
Organism: Mangrovimonas yunxiaonensis
Lineage: Bacteria; Pseudomonadati; Bacteroidota; Flavobacteriia; Flavobacteriales; Flavobacteriaceae
Rfam family: S15-Flavobacteria ribosomal protein leader
Source: Rfam